UACGUAGGGUGCAAGCGUUGUCAGGAAUUACUGGGCGUAAAGCGUGCGCAGGCGGUUGUGUAAGACAGAUGUGAAAUCCCCGGGCUCAACCUGGGAACUGCAUUUGUGACUGCACAGCUGGAGUGCGGCAGAGGGGGAUGGAAUUCCGCGUGUAGCAGUGAAAUGCGUAGAUAUGCGGAGGAACACCGAUGGCGAAGGCAAUCCCCUGGGCCUGCACUGACGCUCAUGCACGAAAGCGUGGGGAGCAAACAGG
Molecule: ribosomal RNA, 253 nt
Filed under: uncultured bacterium
Lineage: Bacteria
Description: partial 16S ribosomal RNA
Rfam family: Bacterial small subunit ribosomal RNA
Source: RNAcentral